CAAGUCGAGCGCACUUAUGAUCUUCGGAUUAUAGGCGAGCGGCGGACGGGUUAGUAACGCGUGGGAACGUACCCUUUACUACGGAGUAGCCUUUGGAAACGAAGAGUAAUACCGUAUACGCCCUUUGGGGGAAAGAUUUAUCGGUAAAGGAUCGGCCCGCGUUAGAUUAGAUAGUUGGUGGGGUAAUGGCCUACCAAGUCUACGAUCUAUAGCUGGUUUGAGAGGAUGAUCAGCAACACUGGGACUGAGACACGGCCCAGACUCCUACGGGAGGCAGCAGUGGGGAAUCUUAGACAAUGGGCGAAAGCCUGAUCUAGCGAUGCCGCGUGAGUGAAGAAGGCCUUAGGGUCGUAAAACUCUUUCGCCAGAGAUGAUAAUGACAGUAUCUGGUAAAGAAACCCCGGCUAACUCCGUGCCAGCAGCCGCGGUAAUACGGAGGGGGUUAGCGUUGUUCGGAAUUACUGGGCGUAAAGCGCACGUAGGCGGACUGAUCAGUUAGAGGUGAAAUCCCAGGGCUCAACCCUGGAACUGCCUUUAAUACUGUCAGUCUAGAGAUCGAGAGAGGUGAGUGGAAUUCCAAGUGUAGAGGUGAAAUUCGUAGAUAUUUGGAGGAACACCAGUGGCGAAGGCGGCUCACUGGCUC
Molecule: ribosomal RNA, 643 nt
Filed under: uncultured Alphaproteobacteria bacterium
Lineage: Bacteria; Pseudomonadati; Pseudomonadota; Alphaproteobacteria
Description: bacterial SSU rRNA
Rfam family: Bacterial small subunit ribosomal RNA
Source: RNAcentral